RNAcentral lists this small RNA (865 nucleotides) under Arabidopsis thaliana (thale cress). RNAcentral's name for it is "ATSL011610". The record is from RNAcentral. Lineage: Eukaryota; Viridiplantae; Streptophyta; Magnoliopsida; Brassicales; Brassicaceae.
UUUUUAUAGCUACUGUUUUUAUGGAUCAAACUGAAUAUUUUAUGUCAUUAUAUAUAUAUAUAACUUUUAAAAAGAGAAUCUUGAAACAUAAACUUGAUUUAAUCAUAUUUUCAUGGUGUUUUGAUACAUUUGCAGAAUAUGGGGUUCGAUUUCGUAAAAAACUCAAGCAUGAAUGGGAUAACAUCACUCAACAGUAAAGCCGGACACUUCAAUUUCUUAUCCGUUGACCACUUCAGCAUCACUAGAGUCAACAUAAUAGCUCCCAGCAAUAGUCCCAACACUGACGGAAUCAAAAUAGCUUUAUCAAGUAACAUGCAAAUCUCAAACACUCACAUCAGCACCGGAGACGAUUGUAUCGCAAUGCUCUCUGGAAACACAAAUUUUGAUAUCUAUAAUGUCAAGUGCGGACCGGGACAUGGAAUUAGUAUUGGAAGCUUAGGAAAAAACAAAGACGAAAAGAAUGUUAAUGGUUUAAUGGUUAGAAAUUCGGUCUUUACCGGUACGACCAACGGUAUACGGAUCAAGACAUGGGAAUCUUCAGCUUCAACAAUCCGAAUUAUCAAUUUAGUGUAUGAGAAUCUACAGAUGAUAAAUGUUGAAAAUCCUAUCGGCAUUGAUCAAAAAUACUGUCCUUACCCGCCAUGCAGCAAUAUGGUAACUUACUAUGCAAGAAACAAAUUUCUAUCUUCUUAGAAUCUUCAUCGACUUUAAAAUUAACAUGUUAGUUCAUGUUUUAUCGCAGGGAGAUUCUCACAUUCAGAUCCGAAACGUGACACUAAAGAACAUUUGGGGAACAUCAAAGAAUAAAGUGGCUGUGAAAUUUCAAUGUAGCAAAACCUUUCCUUGCAAAGAUGUUCAGUUAAUU